Long non-coding RNA from Cyprinus carpio (common carp), 852 nucleotides. Lineage: Eukaryota; Metazoa; Chordata; Actinopteri; Cypriniformes; Cyprinidae. The record is from Ensembl.
AUGGGUGGAUGCUCCGCUCCAAACUGCUCGAACUCUACAACUAUUGGAAAGCAGCUCUUUCGCUUUCCGAAAGAGCCCGUGCGCAUGAGAAAGUGGCUUGUAAACUGUCGGCGUGAUUUUGUACCGACCCCCUGCUCCAGACUGUGCCAGGACCACUUUGAAGAAAGCCAGUUUGAGGAGAUCGCCAGAUCACCAGCAGGGGGAAGGAAACUCAAACCCAACGCAAUCCCCACACUCUUCAAUGUUCCCGACCCUCCCUCUCCUGUCACCCCUCAAGCAGUGUUACCUGUUAAAAAUGAGCCAGUGGAAAAGGACUUGAACAUGGGGGACCAUGGUUAUGCCCGCCGACAGCCGCUGGUGGAUUCGGAGGAGGAUGGGGUUCAGAGGGCAGACGAGGAGCGACCUUGCUCGCUCUGCCAGCAUUAUAAAACCAAACUGGAGCAGCAACAGCAGCACACCGUCAGACUACAGAGAGAGGCAGAGGAAAUGAAGAAACGGCUUUAUAAACUGAGUAAAAUAGAGAAGGGGCUACAGGUGUUUCUGUUUGAGGAUCAGAUACGUGCCCUAACGCUAGCCAAGCGUUCUCGGAGGGCAGUGUGGUCUCAUGGUACUUUACUGACAGCCCGUAAAAUCCGCUGCGCUGUGGGGGUUAAAGGAUACGAGUACCUAAGGGAACUGGGCUACCCUUUGCCUUCUUACAGGACGCUGUGUAAUCGCCUGGAGCCCAAAAUGAUGGUGACCACGAGUAUGCAGGACGAACUAGCAGAGCUCGGCCUGGGCAUCAUAACAGCUUGUGACAGUCCAGAGGGCAACGUGACGAGUGAUGAAGGACUGAUUGGAGUCAUGACCUGA